Molecule: non-coding RNA, 155 nt
Filed under: Proteus hauseri ZMd44
Lineage: Bacteria; Pseudomonadati; Pseudomonadota; Gammaproteobacteria; Enterobacterales; Morganellaceae
Description: EFASI RNA
Rfam family: EFASI RNA
Source: Rfam by way of RNAcentral
UGAGCUCGGUAUCGAUGGCAAUAUCAGCGAAAGCUGAUAGAUGGAGGUAGUCUGAUUUUAUUUAUCAGGACGGUUUAUACCGCGAACAGCUCUGAGAGCUGGGGAGCCUCGUAAAAACUCAACUUAUUGUCGCCUUGAUGCACAGAUACCCGCUA